This 429-nucleotide ribosomal RNA is filed under the name uncultured archaeon. RNAcentral describes it as "bacterial SSU rRNA". It matches the Rfam family "Archaeal small subunit ribosomal RNA", at positions 474 to 903 of the family's 1478-position model. The record is from RNAcentral.
UACCAGCUCUCCGAGUAGUGUGGAUGUUUAUUGGGCCUAAAGCAUCCGUAGCUUGCUAAGCAAGUCCCCUGUUAAAUCCACCGAUUCAAUCGGUGGAUUGCGGGGGAUACUGUUUGGCUAGGGGACGGGAGAGGCCGACGGUAUUUCCGGGGUAGGGGUGAAAUCCUAUAAUCCCGGGAAGACCACCAGUGGCGAAGGCUGUCGGCUAGAACGCGCCCGACGGUGAGGGAUGAAAGCUGGGGGAGCGAACCGGAUUAGAUACCCGGGUAGUCCCAGCUGUAAACGAUGCAGGCUAGGUGUUUGGGCGGCCACGAGCCGCUCUAGUGCCGCAGGGAAGCUGUUAAGCCUGCCGCCUGGGGAGUACGGCCGCAAGGCUGAAACUUAAAGGAAUUGGCGGGGGAGCACCACAAGGGGUGAAGCCUGCGGUUU